This 500-nucleotide ribosomal RNA is filed under the name uncultured bacterium. Its description in RNAcentral is "partial 16S ribosomal RNA". It matches the Rfam family "Bacterial small subunit ribosomal RNA", at positions 30 to 523 of the family's 1533-position model. The record is from RNAcentral.
AUUGAACGCUGGCGGAAUGCUUUACACAUGCAAGUCGAACGGCAGCACGGACUUCGGUCUGGUGGCGAGUGGCGAACGGGUGAGUAAUGUAUCGGAACGUGCCCAGUCGUGGGUGAUAACGUAGUGAAAAUUACGCUAAUACCGCAUACGAUCUAUGGAUGAAAGCGGGGGAUCGCAAGACCUCGCGCGAUUGGAGCGGCCGAUAUCAGAUCGGGUAGUUGGUGGGGUAAAGGCCCACCAAGCCAACGAUCUGUAGCUGGUCUGAGAGGACGACCAGACACACUUGAACUGAGACACGGUCGAGACUCCUGCGGGAGGCAGCAGUGGGGAAUUUUGGACAAUGGGCGAAAGCCUGAUUCAGCCAUUCCGCGUGCAGGAUGAGGGCCCUCGGGUUGUAAACUGCUUUUGUACAGAACGAAAAGGUUUCUACUAAUACUAGGAGCUCAUGACGGUACUGUAAGAAUAAGCACCGGCUAACUACGUGCCAGCCGCAGCCGUAA